CCUACGGGAGGCAGCAGUAGGGAAUAUUGGGCAAUGGGUGCAAGCCUGACCCAGCCAUGCCGCGUGGAGGAAGAAGGUCCUCUGGAUUGUAAACUCCUUUUGUCGGGGAAGAAGAGUCAUCUUGCGAGGUGAUGUGACGGUACCCGAUGAAUAAGCCACGGCUAACUACGUGCCAGCAGCCGCGGUAAUACGUAGGUGGCAAGCGUUGUCCGGAUUUAUUGGGUUUAAAGGGUGCGUAGGUGGGUUAAUAAGUCAGUGGUGAAAGCCGGUUGCUCAACAAUCAAAUUGCCAUUGAUACUGUUAGUCUUGAGAGAAGCGGAGGCUCAUGGAAUGGAUGGUGUAGCGGUGAAAUGCAUAGAUAUCAUCCAGAACGUCGAUUGCGAAGGCAGUGGGCUGUACUUUUUCUGACACUGAGGCACGAAAGCGUGGGGAUCAAACAGGAUUAGAUACCCUGGUAGUCCACGCUGUAAACGAUGCGAACUAGCUUUUCGGUUUAGGAUUGGGAGGCUAAGGGAAACCGAUAAGUUCGCCACCUGGGGAGUACGCCGGCAACGGUGAAACUCAAAGGAAUUGACGG
This 577-nucleotide ribosomal RNA is filed under the name uncultured bacterium. Its description in RNAcentral is "bacterial SSU rRNA". It matches the Rfam family "Bacterial small subunit ribosomal RNA", at positions 338 to 916 of the family's 1533-position model. The record is from RNAcentral.